CCUACGGGCUGCACCAGUGGGGAAUCUUGCGCAAUGGGCGAAAGCCUGACGCAGCCAUGCCGCGUGGAUGAUGAAGGUCUUAGGAUUGUAAAAUCCUUUCACCGGUGAAGAUAAUGACUGUAGCCGGAGAAGAAGCCCCGGCUAACUUCGUGCCAGCAGCCGCGGUAAUACGAAGGGGGCUAGCGUUGUUCGGAAUUACUGGGCGUAAAGGGAGCGUAGGCGGACAUUUAAGUCAGGGGUGAAAUCCCGGAGCUCAACUUCGGAACUGCCUUUGAUACUGGAUGUCUUGAGUGUGAGAGAGGUAUGUGGAACUCCGAGUGUAGAGGUGAAAUUCGUAGAUAUUCGGAAGAACACCAGUGGCGAAGGCGACAUACUGGCUCAUUACUGACGCUGAGGCUCGAAAGCGUGGGGAGCAAACAGGAUUAGAUACCCGCGUAGUC
This 440-nucleotide ribosomal RNA is filed under the name uncultured bacterium. Its description in RNAcentral is "bacterial SSU rRNA". It matches the Rfam family "Bacterial small subunit ribosomal RNA", at positions 338 to 795 of the family's 1533-position model. The record is from RNAcentral.